RNAcentral lists this long non-coding RNA (1868 nucleotides) under Chloebia gouldiae (Gouldian finch). RNAcentral describes it as "Erythrura gouldiae (Gouldian finch) lncRNA (ENSEGOG00005007956.1)". The record is from RNAcentral. Lineage: Eukaryota; Metazoa; Chordata; Aves; Passeriformes; Passeridae.
CCCGUUCCCGCUGCCCGUUCCCACUGCCCGCACCCGCUGCCCGUUCCCACUGCCCGCACCCACUGCCCGCUCCCACUGCCCGUUCCCACUGCCCGUUCCCCCUGCCCGCACCCACUGCCCGCACCCACUGCCCUCACCCACUGCCUGUUCCCACUGCCUGUUCCCACUGCCCGCUCCCACUGCCCGUUCCCACUGCCCGUUCCCACUGCCCGUUCCCCCUGCCCGCACCCGCUGCCCGCACCCGCUGCCCGUACCCGGUUCUCGGGGCCGGGCGAGGCCCUGAGCCCCCGUUACACCGAGGGCUCGCUGGGGCCGGGCCAGGGCCCGGGCAGUCCCCUACCUGCUCCUCGGGAGCGGGGGAGCCCCGCUGCCGCCUCCCAGAGAGCCCCGGCAGCGGAGGGACCGCGGCACCGCUGCCCCCGCACGGGCGGCUCCUCGCAGCGAGCCUCACCUUCCCCGCCUGCAAACCUGGCUGUCCCAGGACCGUGGGGUGGCCCCGGGGCAGGGCAGGGCAGGGCCACCCCCCGUCCCCUUCCUGCCCCGGCGCAGGACGAACAGCUGCAAACCUCCCUCGUUGAAGAAACCAUGUCACGGAAGAGAAGAGACCUUCAGGACUCCGUGGAGGUUCUUGGCAGAAGCAUCUUGGGGACUUCGGCUGAUUUAUUUGCUUAUUUAGGAGGCUGGUUUGGCUGCUUGGUCUGACUUGCCCAGACUAUCACCGAGAUAUCUGGAAGCUUGAACAUACAGGUUCGCCUCAUAUAGUCCCUAAGUUUUUAUCUACAAACUUAACAGCUGUAAGUAUUUUAGAUUACUUAACUUGUGGCUGUUCUGGGAACACUACGUUCUUUAGGUUCUGGUGAUUCUUAGUUCCCUGUUUCACAUCACAGCUAGAGACAGAGUUUUUCAAAGCAGGAGUUCCUCAAACUAUUUUGUUAAGCACAGAAUCAAAUGUGGACGAUUUUAACACUGUACUGCGACUUACUCGUUCACUAACUACUAAACUAGAUAUUAAGGUAGAGGAAAGCUCUUUUUUAUGUUCUUCACAAAGCAGGCAGCAAACAUGGACUAUAGAACUAUCAAGGUAGAUGUUCUCAUUAUUGUUAAAAAUACAUCAUAACAUUUGCUAAGCAAAUUACAAGUAUUUUGCAAAAACUGUGGAGAAUGAUCCAGACAUGUCCAGUCCCUUCCAUUCCUUUUCAUCCUGCUUCUGAUACUUCUUUCAUUUCAUGUUCUGGUACUAUUUUAUUUACCAAAUGGAAACACGUUCAAACAUCCUGCCCACUAGCUGCAGAUAAGUGAAGAUGAAUGAUUAUGUCCUGCUGUGCCUGCAUAAACUGUUUUCCAUCAACCCAAGGUAUGCAGUGCUAGCUGGAGGCACAUUGCAACACUUCCAGAUUCAAAGCUGUUGGGAGGUACACAGAAAAUUAAUUCAUUCCUGACUUGGCAAACACAGCAGGAUUUAUACAGUCAUCUUGUCUCUCUUUAGUCACCACUUCUAUCCAUAUUUAAUUUUGGAAAUGUUUCUCAUUAACUCUUAAACAGUGCAAGAUUAUUCGAGAUUUUCAGCUUCUGUAUUAUUUUGCAGGACUGAAAAACAUCUGUGACUGGAAUGGGAUUAAGUGAGGUCUCUACUAUAUUUCUCUAGAAGCACUGGUUUAAAAAAAUUAGUAACUUCGUAAGAAUUCUUUUUGAGGUACACAUGCUAGAGUUUCUGCUGUUGUGAUGGGGCUUUUUGUGAUGAGGCUUUUUCUCCUGUAUUCAUUAUAAUACUACUAAUAUUGAAAAAAUGUUCCCGGUAAAAAGGUUUCUGGUGUAAAACACUUCGUUAAAAUUCUACCAAAAUAAACAUGUAAAAUCAGAACUAUUCA